UAGAUAUGUAUAGGGAUAAGGAGACAGGGAUACUGGAUGAUGAGGUAGAUAUGUAUAGGGGUAAGGUGACAGGGAUACUGGAUGAUGAGGUAGAUAUGUAUAGAGGUAAGGAGACAGGGAUACUGGAUGAUGAGGUAGAUAUGUCUAGGGGUAAGGUAACUAGGCAACAGGAUAUAAGACAAACAGAGUAGCAGCUUCUUGUAUGUGAGUGUGUGUGCUGUGUGUAGUCAGUAUAAAUGUAUAUAUUUUGGACACAGCUACUCAUUGCAGGGUUUUUCUUUAUUAUUUACUCUUUUCUACAUUGUAGAAUAAUAGGGAAGACAUUACAACUAUGAAAUAACACAUAUGGAG
This is a long non-coding RNA of Oncorhynchus tshawytscha (Chinook salmon), 351 nucleotides long. NCBI's taxonomy places the organism in Eukaryota, Metazoa, Chordata, Actinopteri, Salmoniformes, Salmonidae. The record is from Ensembl.